RNAcentral lists this ribosomal RNA (2888 nucleotides) under Acinetobacter baumannii. Its description in RNAcentral is "bacterial LSU rRNA". It matches the Rfam family "Bacterial large subunit ribosomal RNA". The record is from RNAcentral. Lineage: Bacteria; Pseudomonadati; Pseudomonadota; Gammaproteobacteria; Moraxellales; Moraxellaceae.
UCAAGUAAUUAAGUGCAUGUGGUGGAUGCCUUGGCAGUCAGAGGCGAUGAAAGACGUGAUAGCCUGCGAAAAGCUCCGGGGAGGCGGCAAAUAUCCUUUGAUCCGGAGAUGUCUGAAUGGGGGAACCCACCUACUUUAAGGUAGGUAUUGCAACAUGAAUACAUAGUGUUGCAAGGCGAACGAGGGGAAGUGAAACAUCUCAGUACCCUUAGGAAAAGAAAUCAAUUGAGAUUCCCUCAGUAGCGGCGAGCGACGGGGAUCAGCCCAUUAAGUUAUGUGUGUUUUAGUGGAACGCUCUGGGAAGUGCGAACGUAGAGGGUGAUAUUCCCGUACACGAAAGGGCACACAUAAUGAUGACGAGUAGGGCGAGGCACGUGAAACCUUGUCUGAAUAUGGGGGACCAUCCUCCAAGGCUAAAUACUCCUGACUGACCGAUAGUGAACCAGUACCGUGAGGGAAAGGCGAAAAGAACCCCUGUGAGGGAGUGAAAUAGAUCCUGAAACCGCAUGCAUACAAGCAGUGGGAGCACCUUCGUGGUGUGACUGCGUACCUUUUGUAUAAUGGGUCAGCGACUUAUAUUCAGUAGCGAGGUUAACCGUAUAGGGGAGCCGUAGAGAAAUCGAGUCUUAAUAGGGCGUUUAGUUGCUGGGUAUAGACCCGAAACCAGGCGAUCUAUCCAUGAGCAGGUUGAAGGUUGGGUAACACUAACUGGAGGACCGAACCCACUGUCGUUGAAAAGCCAGGGGAUGACUUGUGGAUAGGGGUGAAAGGCUAAUCAAGCCUGGUGAUAGCUGGUUCUCCCCGAAAGCUAUUUAGGUAGCGCCUCGGACGAAUACCAUAGGGGGUAGAGCACUGUUUCGGCUAGGGGGUCAUCCCGACUUACCAAACCGAUGCAAACUCCGAAUACCUAUGAGUACUAUCCGGGAGACAGACUGCGGGUGCUAACGUCCGUAGUCAAGAGGAAAACAAUCCAGACCGCCAGCUAAGGCCCCAAAAUCAUAGUUAAGUGGGAAACGAUGUGGGAAGGCAUAGACAGCUAGGAGGUUGGCUUAGAAGCAGCCACCCUUUAAAGAAAGCGUAAUAGCUCACUAGUCGAGUCGGCCUGCGCGGAAGAUGUAACGGGGCUAAAACUAUGUGCCGAAGCUGCGGAUGUAUACUUUGUAUACGUGGUAGGGGAGCGUUCUGUAAGCCGAUGAAGGUGUGUUGAGAAGCAUGCUGGAGGUAUCAGAAGUGCGAAUGCUGACGUGAGUAACGACAAAACGGGUGAAAAACCCGUUCGCCGAAAGACCAAGGGUUCCAGUCCAACGUUAAUCGGGGCUGGGUGAGUCGACCCCUAAGGCGAGGCCGAAAGGCGUAGUCGAUGGGAAAAUGGUUAAUAUUCCAUUACUUCUGUGUAAUGCGAUGAGAGGACGGAGAAGGCUAAAUCAGCCUGGCGUUGGUUGUCCAGGUGAAAGGAUGUAGGCAUGUAUCUUAGGCAAAUCCGGGGUACUCUAUGCUGAGAUCUGAUAGCAAGCUGUACUUGUACAGCGAAGUGGUUGAUGCCAUGCUUCCAGGAAAAGUCUCUAAGCUUCAGUUACACAGGAAUCGUACCCGAAACCGACACAGGUGGUCAGGUCGAGUAGACCAAGGCGCUUGAGAGAACUCUGCUGAAGGAACUAGGCAAAAUGGUACCGUAACUUCGGGAGAAGGUACGCUGUUGUUGGUGAUGGAACUCGCUUCCUGAGCUGACGACAGCCGCAGAAACCAGGCCGCUGCAACUGUUUAUUAAAAACAUAGCACUCUGCAAACACGAAAGUGGACGUAUAGGGUGUGAUGCCUGCCCGGUGCUGGAAGGUUAAUUGAUGGGGUUAGCGUAAGCGAAGCUCUUGAUCGAAGCCCCAGUAAACGGCGGCCGUAACUAUAACGGUCCUAAGGUAGCGAAAUUCCUUGUCGGGUAAGUUCCGACCUGCACGAAUGGCAUAAUGAUGGCGGCGCUGUCUCCAGCAGAGGCUCAGUGAAAUCGAAAUCGCUGUGAAGAUGCAGUGUACCCGCGGCUAGACGGAAAGACCCCGUGAACCUUUACUGCAGCUUGACACUGAACUUUGACCUUACUUGUGUAGGAUAGGUGGGAGGCUUUGAAGCUGGAACGCUAGUUCCAGUGGAGCCGUCCUUGAAAUACCACCCUGGUAAUGUUGAGGUUCUAACUCUGUCCCGUGAUCCGGGACGAGGACCGUGUCUGGUGGGUAGUUUGACUGGGGCGGUCUCCUCCUAAAGAGUAACGGAGGAGUACGAAGGUGCGCUCAGCGUGGUCGGAAAUCACGCGUAGAGUAUAAAGGCAAAAGCGCGCUUAACUGCGAGACCCACAAGUCGAGCAGGUACGAAAGUAGGUCUUAGUGAUCCGGUGGUUCUGUAUGGAAGGGCCAUCGCUCAACGGAUAAAAGGUACUCUGGGGAUAACAGGCUGAUACCGCCCAAGAGUUCAUAUCGACGGCGGUGUUUGGCACCUCGAUGUCGGCUCAUCUCAUCCUGGGGCUGAAGCAGGUCCCAAGGGUAUGGCUGUUCGCCAUUUAAAGAGGUACGCGAGCUGGGUUUAGAACGUCGUGAGACAGUUCGGUCCCUAUCUACCGUGGGCGCUGGAAAUUUGAGAGGAUCUGCUCCUAGUACGAGAGGACCAGAGUGGACGAACCUCUGGUGUACCGGUUGUGACGCCAGUCGCAUCGCCGGGUAGCUAUGUUCGGAAGGGAUAACCGCUGAAAGCAUCUAAGCGGGAAGCCUACCUCAAGAUAAGAUUUCCCUAGGACUUUAUGUCCUCUAAAGAGCCGUUCGAGACUAGGACGUUGAUAGGUUGGAUGUGGAAGCAUAGUGAUAUGUGAAGCUGACCAAUACUAAUUGCUCGUGAGGCUUGACUAU